AAUCAUACUAACCCUAGAGAGAACCUCCAUCCUCCGGAUACCAUCUAUGUCUCUUCACUGGAGGAGCCGCCACCGGCGAACACCAUAUAUGCCAACGACCACCAAAUUCACACCACAGAUUCCCCAAGAAUCCCUCUUUCUAACCAUGCCAUUAGUUUCCCUCGAAUCUCACCAGAGCUCGUCGAAUAUCCGUUGGAACAUUUCCGGCCACGACAUCACUACGUCCAUUUGAUACCAGAUUAGCAACAUAGCUUCCUCUCCCCAUCCUCUAACAAUUCCCCUUAACCCCAUGUCCCGAACGUGGCCGGAACUGUUCGAAUGACAUUUAUAAACUUUCCGGCCAAAACCUAAAUAAUCCAAUCCUUGCCAAAUUAGUUUCAUAAGGUUCUUGGGCUUCCCUCAUGAGGAAUUCAGUGUCAAAAAGUUUGAAUGUCACCGGAGAUGGCCGGAGUGGAAUCUUCAGUUAGCCGGUUUUUCUUUUGUUUAAGUCGUUUCAAUAUCAGUGAGUUUCCUUUCUUGGUGUAUUUCUCUUAUUUUGCUGUGUUAAUUCCCAGUUUAGUGUGCGUUAAUUGUUGUUAAUUCUCUUCUGACUUUGUGCUUAGCUAUUUAUUUGUCUAGGUUUAGUUAGUCUAUAUAAGUUGGAUAAUCAAUCGUCUUUCUAUUUGACUUUCACUAUAGUUUUGUCCUAAUUAAUUCAGAGUCAAUAUUUUGGGUGAAUUAUUGGUUUUAGUUCAUUAUGAGGUUUUAAUUAGUUAGUAUUCAAGGAUGGUUAGUUUGUUCGGGUAGUACUUCUGAGGUGAUAAUUAGCAGAUUUUGUUAAUCUAGGUUAGCAAUAUUCAGAAAUAAAAAAGUAAAUUCCAGGUUAGUUUAGAAUAUAAUAGAGGAAACUAGAAUUCACUAGGAUGUUCUAGAAGGGGUUCAAAGUGAAAGUCAGUAAAAAUGGGUGUUAGCUUGCAUAAUAAGUUAAAAAACUAAGGGACUAGAGUUGAAAUGAAAUGAGGGACACCUAAAGGGAAAACUAAAAUUUGAGGCUCAUUUUUUGUUGCCUAUAAAAGGGCAUCAAAAUGCCUUGAGGAGGGGUCUUCUUUUUCAGCCAUCAAAUUCCCUUCGAAGAUCUGAUCCAGCUGGCAAACUUCAAAUUUAGAGUCUGUUUAGUUCUCUAUAGAAAAUCCAAAAAAAACAUAGGAAAUCGCAUAAAAAAACCACAAACAAGUUACUGUUCCAUUGAUAUCUCAAGUUUAAUCUCAGGUUUUCCUAUUUCGAAUUUGGUGUUUGAGGUCUCAUAGGUAUACAAAUUGAUUUUGGGUAGGUUUGAGUCCAAUUGAACUAGGUUGUGAUCGAGAUUGCAUUUCUGCUGGAAGUGUGAGUGUAUUCUAAGUAAUGUUCGAGAUUUUUGGUCUGUUUUGGAACUGGUUCGGUUUGACCUCUCAUUUGGCGAAUUUUAAUUCUUUUCUUGUGGUUGUUGCUGAUUAUUUCGGUUGAAUCUCGUUAGUUUUUUUUUUUUUGCAAUUGUGAAGAAUAGGUUCAAAGGGAUUCGUAAAUGUUAUUAAAAAUGAGAAUUAAACUCAAUUUGGUAAUAUGAUGUAAUUAAGACAAGAGGUGUUGCUCUGAUGGUAAGCAACCUCCACUUCCAGCCGAGAGGUUGUGAGUUCGAGUCUCCCCAAGAGCAAGGUGGGAAGUUCUUGGANNNNNNNNNNNNNNNNNNNNNNNNNNNNNNNNNNNNNNNNNNNNNNNNNNNNNNNNNNNNNNNNNNNNNNNNNNNNNNNNNNNNNNNNNNNNNNNNNNNNNNNNNNNNNNNNNNNNNNNNNNNNNNNNNNNNNNNNNNNNNNNNNNNNNNNNNNNNNNNNNNNNNNNNNNNNNNNNNNNNNNNNNNNNNNNNNNNNNNNNNNNNNNNNNNNNNNNNNNNNNNNNNNNNNNNNNNNNNNNNNNNNNNNNNNNNNNNNNNNNNNNNNNNNNNNNNNNNNNNNNNNNNNNNNNNNNNNNNNNNNNNNNAGGUGGGAAGUUUUUGGAGGGAAGGAUGCUGGGGGUCUAUUUGGAAACAGCCUCUCUACCCAAGGGUAGGAGUAAGGUCUGCGUACACACUACUCUCCUCAGACCCCACUAAGUAGGAUUAUAUUGGGUUGUUGUUGUUGUUGUUGAUGUAAUUGGUAGUUAAAGUUCAAAAAUAAAAAAGGGUGCAAUCGAUUCCUGGGUCCCGUGAAAUAGCAAUUCAGUAGUACCAGCUUAAUUCUUACAAUUUGUUGUAUUUUCCAUUCAACUUCAUACAUUAUAUUUUUGGUGAUUGCCCGUGAUUUGUAAAUAAGUGGGCCAAUUGAUAGCCCAAUUAAGAUAUUGCUUAAGACUCAACUUGAUUCCCAAAGUUGCAAGGCGUAGUUUGGGCCUGCCAGACCCAGUUGAGCUUUGUUUUGAUGAUGUUACAAGGUUCCCUUUUUAAAGAGUAAAGUAGCUUCAAAAUAACAAUAAUUAAUUAAGAUUUAAAUUUAUUUUAGAGAAAAAUAGAAAAUCGUAGUCACUUUUAGGCUGGCCUUUAUAUAAAAUGAUGAGACGAGCCUCGCAAAAUAAAAUACAAAAUACAGGGCCUCAAUAAAUGUUAUAUGAAAAUACUUAGAAUUCGUGAAGUCCAUUUAGCGAAUUUCACGACAUUCCCCAAAAUAAUAUUACGUUAGACUGUUUAAGCACGAUUUUAAUAAAAUUACCUUCUUAAACUCGGGUGCGCAUUGAUGCGACCCAAAUUCAAAUCUCAACGGAGCCAAAAUGUGUUAACAACCACGGGUGCAUUGAUUGCGACGUGGUUCGAGAUGCAUAUUUGCAUCGUUUAAAUUCUUUUAAAAAUAAUGAUAAAAGCGGUUUACAAAUAAAAGGCACAUAAGCUAAAAUAUAUUUUGAAAUAAGAUAAAAUCAAAUACAACAGUUGAGCGAAUGUGCUAGAAGCAUGGAACCCAGAAAUGCCUAACACCUUCUCCCAGGUUAACAGAAUUCCUUUCUCGAAUUUUUGGUUUACUGACUGUUAACAAACUCAUAUCAUUCCUCGAUUCAGGAUUAAACGGUGAUUAGGGACACCAUUAAUCUCCCAAGUGACGACUCUGAAUAAUUAAUAAUUGAAUCCCAUUCUGAUUGCCCUUUAAGUGGAAAAACUCCUUUACGCCUUUGCAGGUGUAGUGAAAAAGGAGGUGUGAUAGCUCUGACGACCCUGCUGGGAAUAAGAACCCAGAACAUUUUAUUCAGGGUUCAGGAUUUGAGCUUAGAAUAAUUGUUGUAUUUGACUAUAUCUGGUUGUCCCACAUGUUUCAUGCUAUUUGUGCUAAAUAUUUAACGCUUUGAUAUUAUCUGGACUGUAUAUAAACUGUGCCGAAACCCUUCUCUUCUCACAUUGGGGGAUGUGCUUACUGGUUGAGACUCCCUAUUCUGUUGGUGUCAUACCCAGAAAUAAGAAAGAGACUCAGAUAAGUUACAAAGUCGGACGAUCUCGCGGGUCCCCGGUACGUAGCCCCCUCCUCGACUCGAGUUGUCCCUCAGGAACACUGUUUAGAAAACAUACCUAGGUCUUUGAAUAUGGAAUAAUGGACUUCAUGCCGGAUCACAAGUAGGAGUGCUUAUUUGCAUCAUGCUGCAUUUGAUUUAGGGUACUCAAUAUAGGGGUUGGGUCCCUCUAGGACUACCAAGUCGAAAAUGAAAAAAAUCAUCCUGAUGCAUCCUACUUAUUCUAUGCAUUUAUUUGUUCGGACCUGCAUGCUGAACGGCCUCUGAAUAUCUGAAUUUUGGGAAAAUUGAGGAAAAACAGAGAAAUAGCAGAAAAAACCAAUGCUCAAAUACUGUCGAAACUCUGCUGAAAUUUUGAGAAAAUGAAAAAGAAAAUGUUUUAUUUUAAAUAGUUUGUUUUACUCAAAAAGCACAAAAAAAGGAAAACAAUCUUAUUUUUGGUUUUUCUUGUUUUCAAAAUAGUUUAUUUGCCACCGAAAAAAGAAAAAUAGGUUGUUUUCUUGUUUGUUGAAAAAAAAAAAAAAGAAAAAGAGUCUUUUAAUUUUAGUUUGGAAAAAUAGGUUGUUUUAUUGUUUGUUGAAAAAGAAAAGAAAAGGAUAUUUUAUUUUUAGUUUUGAAAAAUAGGUUGUUUUAUUGUUUGUUGAAAAGGAAAAAGAAAAAAAGUCUUGUUUCUGAAAGUAGUUUUUUUUCGCUUAUGAAAUGCCAAACAUGAAAAUGAAAAAGAGUCCUGUUUUAAAAUGGUUCGGUUAAUUUGUCUGAACUAUGGUAGGUUUGAAUUUCACCGGAUAUGAGAUAUGUAGGCAAGCCUCAUCGGGUCCAAUCUCCCCUUUGCAAAAAUAGCCAAACAAUGUCAAAUUUAAUUUUCGUCAAAAAAUAGCCGAAUGAUUCCGAAAGGGACGCCGGAAGGCUUCUUUUGCAAGAACAUCCACCUUUGGUCAUUUGUUAAAGAUUUUGGCCGGUUAGCCAACGUAACCUUAAAAUCAUCGUCUCCGUGGCCCUGAAAGGCCGUGUUUGCAAAACUGGUUCUUUUAUUUUAAUUUUCGAGAAAGAAAGAGUCAAUGGUCAAGUGAAUACUGUUUGGAUUUUUUGUCAAAUUAAGCCGAGCCAGCUUCGGCAGUGUCUUUAACCGUGCUUGCUGAGAUGGCCUUAGAGUAUCUUUCAGUUGUUGAAAGGCUAUUUUCGGAAAAAAACGAACAAGUUUGGGAAAUGGCAUAAAAUAAUCCUUCCCGACCUCAAAAUUCAUGUGAAAUUGGGAAUGUGCCACGUUUGCAAAAACAGCCAUUUGGUUAAAAUUGCAAAUAGGGAAAGGAAUUUGUCCAUUGGUUUUGGUUUGUAAUUCUUUUGAUUAGAGUAGGUGGGUCAUUUGAUAUUCAAGUGUUUUAUUUUUCUUUCCAAAAAAAAAUGUCUAGUUUUGUAAUAGAAUGUUUCGUUAGUGAAAAUUGAAGAAUUCCCAAAAAUGGUUUCUUUAUUUUUUGCAUUUAUUUUCACGAACAAAGCUUGGUCUAAUUCAUGCGAGGUCAUGAUACGUAGGCAAUCUCCAUAGGAUUCCACCAUAACCAAAAAAAAGAGAAAGAAAAGAAGAGAGCGGAAAAACAAGGAAAAAAAGAAUGGAAAAGGUGAGAAAAGAAAAGAGCGGAAACACAAGAAAGGGAUAGAAUAAGAAAAUUGAAAAGAGAAAAGAAAGAAAGAAAGAAAAAAGAAAAGAAAGGACGAAAGAAAAGAGAAAAGAAACAAAAGAAAGAACGCUGUCAUGAGAAACGAUCGGGAUGAUGCGUGCGAUCAAGCUAAUACAUAAUAGAAAUGGUUAAUUGUAUAGGUGCAUUCACACCAACGUUCGGUUAUCCAAUCUGUUAAAGACUAAUCCCUAAAAAAGUUGUUAUCUAAAUGUGUGAGUCCAGACAAGUGGUUAGUUGAUCAGGCAUUUUGUCAACCCAUCCAUACAACACCCGGUCGAAAGAUAAAGUGAACAUGCCAGGACAUGAAUCAGAGACAAACAUUGUGGACAUAUCGAAAGAGGUUGAGGGGACAGAGGUUCACGCAAUGAAAGAGGAGAUGCGUAAACUGAAACAACAAAUGGAUGAAAUGUAUCAGGCCUGGUCUCAGGGGCAUCCGGUGGUAGUGUAUCCCGCCAACCCAUCUUAUAUCCCACCUCUGGUUCAGUCUCAGGAGCCUCCCACCCCAAACUCAUCUCCAGCCUUCCAUUACUACACACAAGGCUAUGGCACCACUUCCUAUGCUCCUCCAACUCCACCACACAAACAAAACCCUCAUCCACCAAUUGUUCUUGUCUUUGUGGCACCUUUACCGGCCACACUGCAAAGAUCAUCCAGUGAGCCAUUGUUCCAAGCUCAAGAUAAUCAAUUAUAUCCUCCUGAACAUAUAUUCAAAACUCCUGGGCCAUAUAUUCAAAGCUCCUGAGCCAUAUACCUAUGCACCCCGUUUUGAGAUCCCGGAAGAAAUCGAGAAGCCGUCUAAGAGUUCGGAGCAGGAAGAAGUGCUACACAAAGUAAAAAGCCUGGAGCAGUCUUUCAGGAAUAUGCAUGGAUUGGGCUGCCAAGUCAGUGUGGCCUAUAAAGAUUUGUGCUCUUUCCCCUUGUUCAGUUGCGUGUGGGGUUCAAAAUGCCAAAUUUUGAUUUGUAUGAGGGACAUGGUAAUCCAGUGACACACCUUCGAGGUUUUUGCAGUAAAAUGAGAGGGGCCGGUGGGAAGGAUGAGCUGUUGAUUGCAUAUUUUGGCCAGAGUCUGAGCGGGUCUGCACUAGAAUGGUACACGGGGCAGGAUCCUGGUAGGUGGUACACCUGGGAUGACUUGGUGCAGGCAUUCAUUGGUCAUUUCCUAUAUAAUCUUGAGAUCGUCCCCAACCGUCUAUCAUUUUUGAAACUCGAGAAAGAGACUAGAGAGAGCUUUAUGGAGUUUGUUUUCCGUUGGAGGGAACAUGCAGUGAGAGUGGAUCCGCUAAUGAGAGAAAGUAAAAUGGUGGACUACUUUUUACAGGCUUUGUAGACAACUUACUUUGGUCACCUAGUAACGGCAAUUGGCAAAUCUUUUAAUGAAGUGGUGAAGAUUGGAGCUAUGAUUGAGAAAGGAUUGAAAUCCAAUAAAAUCAUGAACUAUUCAACGAUCAAAGCAACCACCCAGGCCAUCCCAAGCGGCACUGAGGGUGUGCUGGGAAAGAAGAAGAAAGAAGAGGUUGCAACAGUCAAAGCAGGAGCUUGGCCCGGAUCUAGAGGCCUUUCACCAUACUACCAACCCAGACCUCACAACCCAAAUUACCCAUAAACUCCAUAUGGCCCUCCACAAUACUACUAUCCACCGCCAGACCCACAUUUUUUCGUUCACCAAGCUCAAACUUAUACCCAGCCUCCGACUCAUGCGCAAUGGCGUGCACCGGCUCCCCAAAGUACAUACCCACUUCCACAAAACACAUAUACACUUCCUUGAGUUCUAUGGUAAUGAAACAAGUUCAAAAAUGGUUGCAAGUUUAGUAAUCAAUCCCACUUGGCCUUGUAGUUACGGAAUAGAUUUGAGAUGUUCGUUUCAGUAGUUGAAUCUCGUUAGUUUUUUUUUUUUUUUGCAAUUGUGAAGAAUAGGUUCAAAGGGAUUGGUAAAUGUUAUUAAAAAUGAGAAUUAAACUCAAUUUGGUAAUGCGAUGUGGUUGGUAGUUAAAGUUCAAAAAUAAAAAAGAGUGCAAUUGAUUCCUAAAGUUCAAAAAUGAAAAAGAGUGCAAUUGAUUUCUGG
RNAcentral lists this long non-coding RNA (7218 nucleotides) under Nicotiana benthamiana. RNAcentral describes it as "long non-coding RNA (NBEN_LNC006576)". The record is from RNAcentral. Lineage: Eukaryota; Viridiplantae; Streptophyta; Magnoliopsida; Solanales; Solanaceae.